GCGCCGAUAGCUCAGCCGGUAGAGCAGCUGACUCUUAAUCAGUAGGUCGUAGGUUCGACUCCUACUCGGCGCA
Molecule: transfer RNA, 73 nt
Filed under: Omnitrophica bacterium GWA2_52_8
Lineage: Bacteria; Pseudomonadati; Candidatus Omnitrophota
Description: tRNA-Lys
Rfam family: tRNA
About the family: Transfer RNA (tRNA) molecules are approximately 80 nucleotides in length. Their secondary structure includes four short double-helical elements and three loops (D, anti-codon, and T loops).
Source: RNAcentral